Molecule: ribosomal RNA, 1011 nt
Filed under: Triticum aestivum (bread wheat)
Lineage: Eukaryota; Viridiplantae; Streptophyta; Magnoliopsida; Poales; Poaceae
Description: partial small subunit ribosomal RNA
Source: RNAcentral
AUGAAUAUCUUUAGGAAGUUUGCCACUAAGAACUCCAAGGGUGUUAUUGGGGAGUCUUCUGACAGUGAUCUCCAUCCUUGGAGGUUGGCGGAGGUACGGCCGUGCGAAUGGCCGCACACUCAGUUCAUGGAAGAGGCUAGAAUCCUUCAGGGGUUCACACAAUAUGCUGCUAAUGCCGGCGUCACCGACUUCAUCGUAGCUGAAUGCGAACAGUAUCAUCUCCUCACAAACAUCUUUGUUCAAUGUUUUACUUUCCUUCCUAGGAAUAAUCCACCUGAAGUGCGGUUUGAUUUAUAUGCUGAAACCCAUCAAAUAUCGCUUACGGAAUUUUGUAACAUAUGCAUGAUCCCUUCUGAUGGGAGCUUAGCCGAGCCUAGGACGACGGAGUUUGAGGCCUUUUAUCGUACCUUGACGGUGGGAGAUGAGAGAGGGGUGUGGGCCGUCACUGCCACUAGCAUACACUUUCCUGCCGUGCAUUAUUUUAGUUUAUUUAUCGCUAACCAUUUGCUUGCUAGGGAAAAAGUGGGUGCGCUCAGUGCACCAUACUUUGCUGUUUUAUGUCAUGCACUAGAGGGCGACGACACUUAUAGCUUGGGAGCUAUUGUGGCACGUCGCCUCCACGUUAAUAAGUCCAAGGGUAAGAUACAUGGUGGGAGUUUCGCUACUCGUUUGGCGGCUCACUUCAAGGUUGAGAUACGCCUUCAUGAUCACCCUCUGACCAAGGUUUACCUAGACUGUGCAGCCAUGGAUCACCAUCAUUUCACUGAUAUUGAAUCUCCUAACAUCCCCGUUGCAUAUAACCUGGUUUUUAGUGUGAAGACUCGUGAUAUUAUUCCAUUGCCUGCUCCUGCUUUGUUUGAUUCUGUUGCCAGUGGCAGAUAUAGGAUUAUGCCUGUGGACAUCAUCGCCUACCGGAAUGAUCAGGCUGCUGCAGAGGCAGCGGAGGAGCCUCAGCAGUGGGAUGAGUGGAUGCCCGCUCCUCAGUACCCCAACUACUAUCCAGGCUACUGA